RNAcentral lists this ribosomal RNA (311 nucleotides) under Babesia vogeli. Its description in RNAcentral is "SSU rRNA". It matches the Rfam family "Eukaryotic small subunit ribosomal RNA", at positions 483 to 848 of the family's 1831-position model. The record is from RNAcentral. Lineage: Eukaryota; Apicomplexa; Aconoidasida; Piroplasmida; Babesiidae.
AUACAGGGCUAAUGUCUUGUAAUUGGAAUGAUGGUGACCCAAACCCUCACCAGAGUAGCAAUUGGAGGGCAAGUCUGGUGCCAGCAGCCGCGGUAAUUCCAGCUCCAAUAGCGUAUAUUAAACUUGUUGCAGUUAAAAAGCUCGUAGUUGAAUUUUAGCGUGUUCGAGUUUGCCAUUCGUUUGGCUUUUUCGAGUUCGCUUUUGGGUUUUCCCUUUUUACUUUGAGAAAAUUAGAGUGUUUCAAGCAGACUUUUGUCUUGAAUACUUCAGCAUGGAAUAAUAGAGUAGGACUUUGGUUCUAUUUUGUUGGU